This 1001-nucleotide ribosomal RNA is filed under the name Clostridioides difficile. RNAcentral describes it as "partial 23S ribosomal RNA". It matches the Rfam family "Bacterial large subunit ribosomal RNA", at positions 422 to 1433 of the family's 2925-position model. Lineage: Bacteria; Bacillati; Bacillota; Clostridia; Peptostreptococcales; Peptostreptococcaceae. The record is from RNAcentral.
ACACGUGAAACCCUGUGGGAAGCAGGAGGGACCACCCUCCAAGGCUAAAUACUACCUAGUGACCGAUAGCGUAUAGUACCGUGAGGGAAAGGUGAAAAGAACCCCGGGAGGGGAGUGAAAUAGAACCUGAAACCCUGCACUUACAAGCUGUGGAAGCACAUUUCUUGUGUGACCGCGUACUUUUUGUAGAACGGGCCAACGAGUUACGUUAAGUAGCAAGGUUAAGCACUUAAGGUGCGGAGCCGUAGCGAAAGCGAGUUUUAACUGAGCGUUCAGUUACUUGACGUAGACCCGAAACCGGGCGACCUACCCAUGAGCAGGAUGAAGCGAAAGUAAAAUUUCGUGGAGGUCCGAACCCACGAGCGUUGAAAAGCUCGGGGAUGACUUGUGGGUAGCGGUGAAAUUCCAAUCGAGCCCGGAGAUAGCUGGUUCUCCCCGAAAUAGCUUUAGGGCUAGCCUCAAGGUGAGAGAUACGGAGGUAGAGCACUGAAUGUCCUAGGGGGUAUUGCACCUACCGAAGACUAUCAAACUCCGAAUGCCGUCAUCUUAUACUUGGGAGUCAGACUGUGGGUGAUAAGAUUCAUAGUCGAAAGGGCAACAGCCCAGAUCGUCAGCUAAGGUCCCUAAAUGUAAGUUAAGUGGUAAAGGAUGUGGGAUUGCACAGACAACCAGGAUGUUGGCUUAGAAGCAGCCACUCAUUCAAAGAGUGCGUAAUAGCUCACUGGUCGAGUGAUCCUGCGCCGAAGAUUUCCGGGGCUAAAACUUACUACCGAAGCUACGGCAUCAGUAAUGAUGGGUAGGGGAGCUUCCCAUACGGGUUGAAGCAUGACCGUAAGGACAUGUGGACAGUAUGGGAGUGAGAAUGUUGGCAUGAGUAGCGAGAUGUGGGUGAGAAUCCCACAGGCCGUAAACCCAAGGUUUCCAGGGGAAGGUUCGUCCGCCCUGGGUUAGUCGGGACCUAAGCUGAGGCCGAAAGGCGUAGGUGAUGGACAACAGGUUGA